GUUGCAUUUGGCUUCAUGGAUUUGAGGGAAAAUUUGGAUUUUAAAUUUUAAAAUUAAUAAAUUUGUUCAAGUACAUGGAUGAUUUGGAUGAAAACUAUUCAAGUUUGAAUUGAAAAUACCUAAGAUGCUGUCAUUUCCAAUAUGCUUUUCAAAAUUGUUGUAGGUGCUUCUUUCUUUAAAAAUGCAAACCUUUGUUUAUGGAACUUGAGCUAAAAUCUCAAAUUCAAACCCUAGAUUCCAAACUACUCUUCAAAUAUAAUCCAGUGCAUUGCUUUUUAG
This 279-nucleotide unclassified non-coding RNA is filed under the name Hevea brasiliensis (rubber tree). Lineage: Eukaryota; Viridiplantae; Streptophyta; Magnoliopsida; Malpighiales; Euphorbiaceae. The record is from RNAcentral.